Long non-coding RNA from Salvia hispanica, 403 nucleotides. RefSeq lists it as uncharacterized. The record is from RefSeq and is a predicted model, not a curated record. NCBI's taxonomy places the organism in Eukaryota, Viridiplantae, Streptophyta, Magnoliopsida, Lamiales, Lamiaceae.
CAUGUGUCACUUUAUACCAAUCAAAUUGAUUCUGCCCUUUUUCUAACCUUAGCGAAUAGCGAGUAAAUAUUGUAAGAAUUUGGGAUCUCCCUCAGGAGGAGCCUGUUUCAGACCUCGUCUUUGGCCUCCUGUUUCCCUUUGAUUAAGAAGUGGAACAGAUGAUUAGAGAGGCUGAUUUGGAUGGUGAAGGACAGGUUGACUAUGAUAAAUUUGUGAAAUUGAUGAUGACUAUUGGAGAGAGAUAUCUCUAAGUUUAAUUUCACUUCUAUUUUGUAUUUUGAUUACAGUGUUAUGCAAAAUACAGAAUCUCAUAGAUCCAAUAAGGUUUGACCAUGCAAUCAUACUUGAUCGGCGAACUGCACACUGUCAAAAACUUGCUGACGAAUUUGUGUUUUUCACUCAA